GCUGGGCGCAGUGGCAUGUGCCUGUAGUCCCAGCUGCUAGGAGGCUCAGGUGGGAGGACUGCUUGAGCCCGGGAGUUCUGGGCUGUAGUGUGCUAUGCCGAUCGGGUGUCUGCACUAAGUUUGGCAUCAAUAUGGGGACCUCCCUGGAGCAGGGGACCACCAGGUUGCGUGGGCGAACCGGCUCAGAUCAGAAACAGAGCAGGUCAAAACUCCCAUGCUGAUCAGCAGUGGGAUCGCACCUGUGAAUAGCCACUGCACUCCAGCCUGGGCAACAUAGCGAGACCCCAUCUCU
RNAcentral lists this signal recognition particle RNA (292 nucleotides) under Cebus imitator (Panamanian white-faced capuchin). RNAcentral's name for it is "Metazoan signal recognition particle RNA (ENSCCAG00000014502.1)". It matches the Rfam family "Metazoan signal recognition particle RNA". Rfam says of the family: The signal recognition particle (SRP) is a universally conserved ribonucleoprotein. It is involved in the co-translational targeting of proteins to membranes. The eukaryotic SRP consists of a 300-nucleotide 7S RNA and six proteins: SRPs 72, 68, 54, 19, 14, and 9. Lineage: Eukaryota; Metazoa; Chordata; Mammalia; Primates; Cebidae. The record is from RNAcentral.